CCUGCCCACUGAAAAUAAUUUAAAGGGCCGCAGUAUUUUGACUGUGCAAAGGUAGCAUAAUCAUUAGUCUUUUAAUUGGAGACUGGAAUGAAUGGCUGGACGAGAAACUAACUGUCUUUAAGUUAAAUUUUGAACUUAACUUUUAAGUGAAAAGGCUUAAAUAAAUUUGAGGGACGAUAAGACCCUAUAAAUCUUAACAUUUAAUUUAUUUAUUAAAUAAUAUUUAUAAGUAAAUAGUUAUUAAAUAAAAAUAAUGUUUUAUUGGGGAGAUAAGAAUAUAAUAUUUAACUGUUUAAAUAAUAUUACAAUUAUUUUUGAUUUAAUUUAGUAGAUCCUUUUUAAAGAUUAAAAAAUUAAGUUACUUUAGGGAUAACAGCGUUAUUUUUUUUGAGAGUUCAUAUCGAAAAAAAAGUUUACGACCUCGAUGUUGAAUUAAAAAUCCUUUAUGGUUGCAGAAGCUGUGGGAGGAAGUCUGUUCGACUUUUAAAAUUUUACAUGAUUUGAGUUCAGACCGGCGUAAGCCAGGUUGGUUUCUAUCUUCUAAGAAAAUAAAAAUUACUCUAGUACGAAAGGAUUGAGUAGUUAAAAUAAUUUUAUCAAUUUGAUUAAUUAUGUUAUUUGUUUGCUUAAA
Molecule: ribosomal RNA, 631 nt
Filed under: Blepharipoda occidentalis
Lineage: Eukaryota; Metazoa; Arthropoda; Malacostraca; Decapoda; Blepharipodidae
Description: partial 16S ribosomal RNA
Rfam family: Bacterial large subunit ribosomal RNA
Source: RNAcentral